CCUACGGGCGGCAGCAGUGGGGAAUAUUGCACAAUGGGGGAAACCCUGAUGCAGCAACGCCGCGUGAGUGAAGAAGUAUUUCGGUAUGUAAAGCUCUAUCAGCAGGGAAGAAAAUGACAGUACCUGACUAAGAAGCCCCGGCUAACUACGUGCCAGCAGCCGCGGUAAUACGUAGGGGGCAAGCGUUAUCCGGAUUUACUGGGUGGAAAGGGAGCGUAGACGGCUGCGCAAGUCAGAAGUGAAAGCCCGGGGCUCAACCGCGGGACUGCUUUUGAAACUGUGUAGCUAGAGUGCAGGAGAGGUAAGUGGAAUUCCUAGUGUAGCGGUGAAAUGCGUAGAUAUUAGGAGGAACACCGGUGGCGAAGGCGGCUUACUGGACUGUAACUGACGUUGAGGCUCGAAAGCGUGGGGAGCAAACAGGAUUAGAUACCCGUGUAGUC
RNAcentral lists this ribosomal RNA (440 nucleotides) under uncultured bacterium. RNAcentral's name for it is "partial 16S ribosomal RNA". It matches the Rfam family "Bacterial small subunit ribosomal RNA", at positions 338 to 795 of the family's 1533-position model. The record is from RNAcentral.